This 983-nucleotide ribosomal RNA is filed under the name Gammarus fossarum. RNAcentral's name for it is "16S ribosomal RNA". The stretch from base 617 to 938 matches the Rfam family "Bacterial large subunit ribosomal RNA", at positions 2073 to 2647 of the family's 2925-position model. Lineage: Eukaryota; Metazoa; Arthropoda; Malacostraca; Amphipoda; Gammaridae. The record is from RNAcentral.
UAGUUAUAGUGGUUUGUUAUAUAAUAAGAAGGUUUUGGCGCUGUACCUUUUGUAUCAGGGGAGCCUAAAAGUGUAAAGAGUGGAUAAUCGAUUGGGUUGGAUCUUUAAAAGAUUAGUUAAGAGUAAAAUUAUUUGGUAUUAGUGUAUAAGGGGUGAAAUGUGUACGACUGCUCUGAUAGCUAAUUAAUUUUAUACGUAAAAGUUUAAGUUUUUGUAGUGCUAUAGUGGUUGUUUUUUACAAAAACUAGGCUUUAAAUUAGCUAAGUUGGCAUGUUGUUUUAAAGGAUUUUUAAUAUAAGCAUUAGUAAAGUAGAAUUAGUAAGUUAAUUUUUGGUUUUUUUGUCUUACAAAUAUAAUGGGUUUAUUGAAUAUAAUUAGGAGCUUUAAAAUAACUCAAAGUUAGUCUGAUUGUUUAUCAAAAACAUUUUUAUUAGGUGUGUUGGAAGUAAAACCUGCCCGGUGCUUGUAUGUUUAACGGCUGCGGUAUUUUGACUGUGCUAAGGUAGCUUAAUCAGUUGUUUUUUAAUUGAAAACUGGGAUGAAGGGUUAAACAGGCUGAGGUAGUUUGUAUAGUUUAACUAGUAAAUUAAAGUCUAGGUAAGAAUUCUUAGAUUUUCUAGGGGACGAUAAGACCCUAGAAGCUUUAAAAAAGAAAAAUUUUUAGUGGUUGUAUUGUAUUUUUACUGGGGCGGUAUUAGUGUUUUAACUACUGGUGAUAAAGAUUGAUCCUUAAUAUAAAGAUAAUUCGGUGAAGUUACUCUAGGGAUAACAGUGCGGUAUUUUUGGAAAGGCCUUAUUAAUAAAAAUGUUCGCAACCUCGAUGUUGAAUUAAGAUGUCUACAUGGGGUAGUAAAUAUGGUAGAGGGUUUGUUCAACCUUUAUAGUCUUACAUGAUUUGAGUUCAAAUCGGUUUAAGCCAGAUUGGAUUUUAUCUCUAGCUAUAUGGUAAUCUUUUUAGUACGAAAGGGUCGAUUGGUUUUUAG